RNAcentral lists this ribosomal RNA (810 nucleotides) under Escherichia coli. RNAcentral's name for it is "partial 23S ribosomal RNA". It matches the Rfam family "Bacterial large subunit ribosomal RNA", at positions 375 to 1190 of the family's 2925-position model. Lineage: Bacteria; Pseudomonadati; Pseudomonadota; Gammaproteobacteria; Enterobacterales; Enterobacteriaceae. The record is from RNAcentral.
GUACACAAAAAUGCACAUAUUGUGAGCUCGAUGAGUAGGGCGGGACACGUGGUAUCCUGUCUGAAUAUGGGGGGACCAUCCUCCAAGGCUAAAUACUCCUGACUGACCGAUAGUGAACCAGUACCGUGAGGGAAAGGCGAAAAGAACCCCGGCGAGGGGAGUGAAAAAGAACCUGAAACCGUGUACGUACAAGCAGUGGGAGCCUCUUAAUGGGGUGACUGCGUACCUUUUGUAUAAUGGGUCAGCGACUUAUAUUCUGUAGCAAGGUUAACCGAAUAGGGGAGCCGAAGGGAAACCGAGUCUUAACUGGGCGUUAAGUUGCAGGGUAUAGACCCGAAACCCGGUGAUCUAGCCAUGGGCAGGUUGAAGGUUGGGUAACACUAACUGGAGGACCGAACCGACUAAUGUUGAAAAAUUAGCGGAUGACUUGUGGCUGGGGGUGAAAGGCCAAUCAAACCGGGAGAUAGCUGGUUCUCCCCGAAAGCUAUUUAGGUAGCGCCUCGUGAAUUCAUCUCCGGGGGUAGAGCACUGUUUCGGCAAGGGGGUCAUCCCGACUUACCAACCCGAUGCAAACUGCGAAUACCGGAGAAUGUUAUCACGGGAGACACACGGCGGGUGCUAACGUCCGUCGUGAAGAGGGAAACAACCCAGACCGCCAGCUAAGGUCCCAAAGUCAUGGUUAAGUGGGAAACGAUGUGGGAAGGCCCAGACAGCCAGGAUGUUGGCUUAGAAGCAGCCAUCAUUUAAAGAAAGCGUAAUAGCUCACUGGUCGAGUCGGCCUGCGCGGAAGAUGUAACGGGGCUAAACCAU